UUUCCCCUAGACUGUAUCCCGACAAAAUGUCCUAGUAACAAAUUGCUUUUUAAGCUACUGUUCUGGGAAAACCAAGCAUUAAAAUUGAUUAUUCUAAAACAUAAAGUGGACUAAAGCCAUCCUAUUUUAUAAUUUUCUAAUGCAAAGUGGUUUAGUAUAGAGUUAACACUUAGAAGUUUAUAGUUUACUGUUUUUAUUCUUAUGUACUGUAAGGACCAUAUUUGAGUUUUUGGUCUAUUCCUACCAUUGUUUCUUUGUGGGGAGGAGUUGGGGAGGUUUGGGGGAUUGGUUUUUUUUGUUUUGUUUUUUUAAACUACAGGUAUUUGUAAAACAGUGUUUGGGUUCAAACAAAUUAGUUGUUAAACAUCUGUAAUCCAGUUUUCUGUAAAUGUUGCUGUUGUUCUAAGCUCUGUUAAUGUUAAGCAUUCUUUGUAUAUAAAAUUACAAUAAAAUGUUAAAACUGGUUGCUUGUUUUGUGGAUGAAUGUAAAGACAAACCCCAAUGAAUGGCUGAUAUGAGUGCUAAAUGCCUGAAGAUUCAACUUAACUAGAAAUCACUCCCUUAGACCCUGCUUAUAUCUAGACCUUGUAUAUCAUACCUCAAAGAUGAAAUUCAUAAAACUUAUCUGAAGAGUUUAAUUUAAAAUUAUAAUGCUCAAUGCACAUCUUUUGCACUUGAGUUGAAACUAACAUCACUACCUAAAGAGCCUUCUACUUCUAAUAUCUGCUGCAUAAUACGUUCAGUCAUUCUACCCCCAUCCCUACCUCCACAUUGUAAGUAUAAAUUACAGUCUUAAUGCUCUGACACUUGAAUUAUUUUUAAAACGUCAAGUGUUUCUAUUCUAACUUAAUAUCAGUCUUUAACUUGUAGAAAAGUAGUAUGCAAGUCUUCAUGUAAGGUACAAACAGGGUCUAAGGUUUGAGUGCCCCCAGAAUGACUUUCUUCAGCCUUGCAGACACCCAAACAUCAUGUAAUUACCUAAGGAAUUCCCAAGUGCCUCUUCCAGGUUAUACAUGUAAAUAGCUGUUUUUAUGCAAGGUUAGUUAGAUACUGCUCUUUACAGGAUGAGUGGUGUUGUCUUUGGCUGUGUGGUCUUAAAUGUGUUUCUAAUGUGUGUGUCAAAUAAUUACCUGUUAAACAGACUGCCAAUCUGGCUGAAGCCAAUGCUUCUGAAGAAGAUAAAAUUAAAGCAAUGAUGUCGCAAUCUGGCCAUGAAUACGACCCAAUCAAUUACAUGAAGAAACCUCUAGGUCCACCACCUCCAUCUUACACGUGUUUCCGUUGUGGUAAACCUGGACAUUAUAUUAAGAAUUGCCCAACAAAUGGGGAUAAAAACUUUGAAUCUGGUCCUAGGAUUAAAAAGAGCACUGGAAUUCCCAGAAGUUUCAUGAUGGAAGUGAAAGAUCCUAAUAUGAAAGGUGCAAUGCUUACCAACACUGGAAAAUAUGCAAUACCAACUAUAGAUGCAGAAGCAUAUGCAAUUGGGAAGAAAGAGAAACCUCCCUUCUUACCAGAAGAGCCAUCUUCUUCCUCAGAAGAAGAUGAUCCUAUCCCAGAUGAAUUGUUGUGUCUCAUCUGCAAGGAUAUUAUGACUGAUGCUGUUGUGAUUCCCUGCUGUGGAAACAGUUACUGUGAUGAAUGUAUAAGAACAGCACUCCUGGAAUCAGAUGAGCAUACGUGUCCAACAUGUCAUCAAAAUGAUGUUUCUCCUGAUGCUUUAAUUGCCAAUAAAUUUUUACGACAGGCUGUAAAUAACUUCAAAAAUGAAACUGGCUAUACAAAAAGACUACGAAAACAGUUACCUCCUCCACCACCCCCAAUACCACCUCCGAGACCACUGAUUCAGAGGAACCUACAACCUCUGAUGAGAUCUCCAAUAUCAAGACAACAAGAUCCUCUUAUGAUUCCAGUGACAUCUUCAUCAACUCACCCAGCUCCGUCUAUAUCUUCAUUAACUUCUAAUCAGUCUUCCUUGGCCCCUCCUGUGUCUGGAAAUCCAUCUUCUGCUCCAGCUCCUGUACCUGAUAUAACUGCAACAGUAUCCAUAUCAGUUCAUUCAGAAAAAUCAGAUGGACCUUUUCGGGAUUCUGAUAAUAAAAUAUUGCCAGCUGCAGCUCUUGCGUCAGAGCACUCAAAGGGAACCUCCUCAAUUGCAAUUACCGCUCUUAUGGAAGAGAAGGGUUACCAGGUGCCUGUUCUUGGAACCCCAUCUUUGCUUGGACAGUCAUUAUUGCAUGGACAGUUGAUCCCCACAACUGGUCCUGUAAGAAUAAAUACUGCUCGUCCAGGUGGUGGUCGACCAGGCUGGGAACAUUCCAACAAACUCGGCUAUCUGGUUUCUCCACCACAACAAAUUAGAAGAGGGGAGAGGAGCUGCUACAGAAGUAUAAACCGUGGGCGACACCACAGCGAAAGAUCACAGAGGACUCAAGGCCCGUCACUACCAGCAACUCCAGUCUUUGUACCUGUUCCACCACCUCCUUUGUAUCCGCCUCCUCCCCAUACACUUCCUCUCCCUCCGGGUGUUCCUCCUCCACAGUUUUCUCCUCAGUUUCCUCCUGGCCAGCCACCACCUGCUGGGUAUAGUGUCCCUCCUCCAGGGUUUCCUCCAGCUCCUGCCAAUUUAUCAACACCUUGGGUAUCAUCAGGAGUGCAGACAGCUCAUUCAAAUACCAUCCCAACAACACAAGCACCACCUUUGUCCAGGGAAGAAUUCUAUAGAGAGCAGCGACGACUAAAAGAAGAGUCUAAAUCUCCCUAUAGUGGUUCUUCGUAUUCAAGAAGUUCAUAUACUUAUUCUAAAUCAAGAUCUGGUUCAACACGUUCACGCUCUUAUUCUCGAUCAUUCAGCCGCUCACAUUCUCGUUCCUAUUCACGGUCACCUCCAUACCCCAGAAGAGGCAGAGGCAAGAGCCGCAAUUACCGUUCACGGUCUAGAUCUCAUGGAUAUCAUCGAUCUAGGUCAAGGUCACCCCCUUACAGACGCUAUCAUUCACGAUCAAGAUCUCCUCAAGCGUUUAGGGGACAGUCUCCUAAUAAACGUAACAUACCUCAAGGGGAAACAGAACGUGAAUAUUUUAAUAGAUACAGAGAAGUUCCACCACCAUAUGACAUGAAAGCAUAUUAUGGGAGAAGUGUUGACUUUAGAGACCCAUUUGAAAAAGAACGCUACCGAGAAUGGGAGAGAAAAUAUAGAGAGUGGUAUGAAAAAUAUUAUAAAGGUUAUGCUGCUGGAGCACAGCCUAGACCCUCAGCAAAUAGAGAGAACUUUUCUCCAGAGAGAUUUGUGCCACUUAACAUCAGGAAUUCUCCCUUCACAAGAGGCCGCAGAGAAGACUAUGUUGGUGGGCAAAGUCAUAGAAGUCGAAACAUAGGUAGCAACUAUCCAGAAAAGCUUUCAGCAAGAGAUGGUCACAAUCAGAAGGAUAAUACAAAGUCAAAAGAGAAGGAGAGUGAAAACGCUCCAGGAGAUGGUAAAGGAAAUAAGCAUAAGAAACACAGAAAAAGAAGAAAAGGGGAGGAAAGUGAGGGUUUUCUGAACCCAGAGUUAUUAGAGACUUCUAGGAAAUCAAGAGAACCUACAGGUGUUGAAGAAAAUAAAACAGACUCAUUGUUUGUUCUCCCAAGUAGAGAUGAUGCCACACCUGUUAGAGAUGAACCAAUGGAUGCAGAAUCAAUCACUUUUAAAUCAGUGUCUGAAAAAGACAAGAGAGAAAGGGAUAAACCAAAAGCAAAGGGUGAUAAAACCAAACGGAAGAAUGAUGGAUCUGCUGUGUCCAAAAAAGAAAAUAUUGUAAAACCUGCUAAAGGACCCCAAGAAAAAGUAGAUGGAGAACGUGAGAGAUCUCCUCGAUCUGAACCUCCAAUUAAAAAAGCCAAAGAGGAGACUCCAAAGACUGACAAUACUAAAUCAUCAUCUUCCUCUCAGAAGGAUGAAAAAAUCACUGGAACCCCCAGAAAAGCUCACUCUAAAUCAGCAAAAGAACACCAAGAAACAAAACCAGUCAAAGAGGAAAAAGUGAAGAAGGACUAUUCCAAAGAUGUCAAAUCAGAAAAGCUAACAACUAAGGAAGAAAAGGCCAAGAAGCCUAAUGAGAAAAACAAACCACUUGAUAAUAAGGGAGAAAAAAGAAAAAGAAAAACUGAAGAAAAAGGCGUAGAUAAAGAUUUUGAGUCUUCUUCAAUGAAAAUCUCGAAACUAGAAGUGACUGAAAUAGUGAAACCAUCACCAAAGCGCAAAAUGGAACCUGAUACUGAAAAAAUGGAUAGGACCCCUGAAAAGGACAAAAUUUCUUUAAGUGUGCCAGCCAAAAAAAUCAAACUCAACAGAGAAACUGGGAAGAAAAUUGGAAGUACAGAAAAUAUAUCAAACACAAAAGAACCCUCUGAAAAAUUGGAGUCAACAUCUAGCAAAGUUAAACAAGAAAAAGUCAAAGGAAAGGUCAGACGAAAAGUGACUGGAACUGAAGGAUCCAGCUCAACUCUGGUGGAUUAUACCAGUACGAGCUCAACUGGAGGCAGUCCUGUGCGGAAAUCUGAAGAAAAAACAGAUACAAAGCGAACUGUGAUUAAAACGAUGGAAGAAUAUAAUAAUGACAAUACGGCGCCAGCUGAAGAUGUUAUCAUUAUGAUUCAGGUUCCUCAAUCCAAAUGGGAUAAAGAUGACUUUGAAUCUGAAGAAGAAGAUGUUAAAUCCACACAGCCUAUAUCAAGUGUAGGAAAACCUGCUAGUGUUAUAAAAAAUGUUAGUACAAAGCCAUCAAAUAUAGUCAAGUAUCCUGAGAAAGAAAGUGAGCCAUCUGAGAAAAUUCAGAAAUUCACCAAGGACGUGAGCCAUGAAAUCAUACAACACGAGGUUAAAAGUUCAAAAAACUCUGCAUCUAGUGAAAAAGGGAAAACCAAAGAUCGAGAUUAUUCAGUGUUGGAAAAGGAGAACCCUGAAAAGAGGAAGAACAGCACUCAGCCAGAGAAAGAGAGUAAUUUGGACCGUCUGAAUGAACAAGGAAAUUUUAAAAGUCUGUCUCAAUCUUCCAAAGAGGCUAGAACGUCAGAUAAACAUGAUUCCACUCGUGCUUCCUCAAAUAAAGACUUCACUCCCAAUAGAGACAAAAAAACUGACUAUGACACCAGAGAGUAUUCAAGUUCCAAACGUAGAGAUGAAAAGAAUGAAUUAACAAGACGAAAAGACUCUCCUCCUCGGAAUAAAGAUUCUGCAUCUGGACAGAAAAAUAAACCAAGGGAAGAGAGAGAUUUGCCUAAAAAAGGAACAGGAGAUUCCAAAAAAAGUAAUUCUAGUCCCUCGAGAGACAGAAAACCUCAUGAUCACAAAGCCCCUUAUGAUACUAAACGGCCAAAUGAAGAGACAAAAUCUGUAGAUAAAAAUCCUUGUAAGGAUCGUGAGAAGCAUGUAUUAGAAGCAAGGAACAAUAAAGAGUCAAGUGGCAAUAAACUACUUUAUAUACUUAACCCACCAGAGACACAGGUUGAAAAAGAGCAAAUUACUGGGCAAAUUGACAAGAAUACUGUCAAGCCUAAACCCCAGUUAAGUCAUUCCUCUAGACUUUCCUCUGACUUAACUAGAGAAACUGAUGAAGCUGCUUUUGAACCAGACUAUAAUGAAAGUGACAGUGAAAGUAAUGUUUCUGUAAAAGAAGAGGAAUCUUCAGGAAACAUUUCUAAGGACCUGAAAGAUAAAAUAGUGGAGAAAGCGAAAGAGAGCCUGGACACAGCAGCAGUUGUCCAGGUGGGCAUAAGCAGGAAUCAGAGCCACAGCAGCCCCAGCGUCAGCCCCAGCAGAAGCCACAGUCCUUCUGGAAGCCAGACCCGAAGCCACAGUAGCAGUGCCAGCUCAGCAGAAAGUCAGGACAGCAAGAAGAAGAAGAAAAAGAAGGAAAAGAAAAAACACAAGAAACAUAAAAAGCAUAAGAAGCAUAAGAAACAUGCAGGCACUGAAGUGGAAUUGGAAAAAAGCCAAAAACACAAACACAAGAAAAAGAAGUCAAAGAAGAACAAAGAUAAAGAGAAGGAGAAGGAGAAAGAUGACCAAAAAGUGAAAUCUGUCACUGUGUAAAAAGACAGAUUUUUUAAAUUGACUUAAUUACUAAGUCAUCUGUAUUAAAUUUUGUUAUAAUGUAAAGAGAUUCAAGCCUUGUAAAUAAUGACAUGGAAGACCCUGUGCUGCACUUAAAAUAUUGCUGCUUGAUUAUUUGAUUUUUACAUCAGAGCUUUAUAACACGAACUUUUGUACAGAAUUGUGAGUUGUGACCAUGUAACAUGAGAGGUUUUGCUAGGGCCUAUUAUUUUUAACCACCAUUAAUUAGUUGGGGUGGAGUUUACUGUAAUGUGAAAUUUUCACAUUUGAAUUUUUUUAAUUGCCUGGCAAAAGCUGAUAUAAGUUCUAAAAUAUCAGCAGAAUGAUUUGCUGAAUUCAUUACAACCCCGUUAUGUCACUUUUUGAUUACAAUAAAAGUUUUCAGUAAACUUUUC
This 6486-nucleotide small RNA is filed under the name Pan troglodytes (chimpanzee). RNAcentral describes it as "retained intron". The record is from RNAcentral. Lineage: Eukaryota; Metazoa; Chordata; Mammalia; Primates; Hominidae.